This 395-nucleotide unclassified non-coding RNA is filed under the name soil metagenome. Its description in RNAcentral is "partial contains 5.8S ribosomal RNA, internal transcribed spacer 2, and large subunit ribosomal RNA". The stretch from base 1 to 122 matches the Rfam family "5.8S ribosomal RNA", at positions 35 to 154 of the family's 154-position model. The record is from RNAcentral.
GAUGAAGAACGCAGCGAAAUGCGAUACUUGGUGUGAAUUGCAGAAUCCCGUGAACCAUCGAGUCUUUGAACGCAAGUUGCGCCCGAAGCCAUCAGGUUGAGGGCACGUCUGCCUGGGCGUCACAUAUCGUUGCCCAAUGCCUAUUGCAGUGCAAUAGGAAUUUCUAGGGCGAAUGAUGGCUUCCCGUGAGCGUUGUUGCCUCGCGGUUGGUUGAAAAUCGAGUCCUUGGUAGGGUGUGCCAUGGUAGAUGGUGGUCGAGUUAGAACGAUACCGAUCAUGUGCAUGCUCCCCAAAAUAUGGCCUCUAUGACCCACACGCGUCUUUUGACGCUCAUGACGAGACCUCAGGUCAGGCGGGGCUACCCGCUGAAUUUAAGCAUAUCAAUAAGCGGAGGA